This 253-nucleotide ribosomal RNA is filed under the name uncultured bacterium. Its description in RNAcentral is "partial 16S ribosomal RNA". It matches the Rfam family "Bacterial small subunit ribosomal RNA", at positions 524 to 776 of the family's 1533-position model. The record is from RNAcentral.
UACGGGGGGGGCAAGCGUUGUUCGGAAUUACUGGGCGUAAAGGGCUCGUAGGUGGCCAACUAAGUCAUACGUGAAAUCCCUCGGCUUAACCGGGGAACUGCGUCUGAUACUGUUUGGCUUGAGUUUGGGAGAGGGAUGCGGAAUUCCAGGUGUAGCGGUGAAAUGCGUAGAUAUCUGGAGGAACACCGGUGGCGAAGGCGGCAUUCUGGACCGAUAUUGACGCUGAGGAGCGAAAGCCAGGGGAGCAAACGGG